RNAcentral lists this transfer RNA (81 nucleotides) under Burkholderia phage BcepNY3. RNAcentral describes it as "tRNA-Tyr". It matches the Rfam family "tRNA". From Rfam's summary of the family: Transfer RNA (tRNA) molecules are approximately 80 nucleotides in length. Their secondary structure includes four short double-helical elements and three loops (D, anti-codon, and T loops). The record is from RNAcentral. Lineage: Duplodnaviria; Heunggongvirae; Uroviricota; Caudoviricetes; Anamaviridae.
GGAGGCGUGGCUGAGUGGUCGAAAGCGGCGGACUGUAAAUCCGUUACCAAGGUCGCGGUGGUUCGAAUCCACCCGUCUCCA